UACGUAGGCAGCGAGCGUUGUUCGGAAUUACUGGGCGUAAAGAGUGUGUAGGCGGUGCUCUAAGUUCGGUGUGAAAUCUCCUGGCUUAACUGGGAGGGUGCGCCGGAAACUGGAGUGCUUGAGCGUGGGAGAGGAAAGCGGAAUUCCUGGUGUAGCGGUGAAAUGCGUAGAUAUCAGGAGGAACACCUGUGGUGUAGACGGCUUUCUGGACCAUAGCUGACGCUGAGACACGAAAGCGUGGGUAGCAAACAGG
Molecule: ribosomal RNA, 253 nt
Filed under: uncultured bacterium
Lineage: Bacteria
Description: partial 16S ribosomal RNA
Rfam family: Bacterial small subunit ribosomal RNA
Source: RNAcentral